RNAcentral lists this ribosomal RNA (460 nucleotides) under uncultured bacterium. Its description in RNAcentral is "partial 16S ribosomal RNA". It matches the Rfam family "Bacterial small subunit ribosomal RNA", at positions 338 to 795 of the family's 1533-position model. The record is from RNAcentral.
CCUACGGGAGGCAGCAGUGAGGAAUAUUGGUCAAUGGGCGGGAGCCUGAACCAGCCAAGUCGCGUGAGGGAAGACGGUCCUAUGGAUUGUAAACCUCUUUAGGCGGGGAGCAAUGCCGGGCACGUGUGCCCGGAGGGAGAGUACCCGCAGAAUAAGCAUCGGCUAACUCCGUGCCAGCAGCCGCGGUAAUACGGAGGAUGCGAGCGUCAUCCGGAUUUAUGGGGGUAAAAGGGUGCGUAGGCGGAUUUUUAAGUCGGCGGUAAAAUGUCCGGGCUCAACACGGGCCGGCCGUUGAAACUGGGGAUCUUGAGUGGGCGAGAAGAAUGCGGAAUGCGUGGGGUAGCGGUGAAAUGCAUAGAUAUCGCGCAGAACUCCGAUUGCGAAGGCAGCAUCCCGGCGCCCGACUGACGCUGAGGCACGAAAGCGUGGGGAUCGAACAGGAUUAGAUACCCUUGUAGUC